This 253-nucleotide ribosomal RNA is filed under the name uncultured bacterium. Its description in RNAcentral is "partial 16S ribosomal RNA". It matches the Rfam family "Bacterial small subunit ribosomal RNA", at positions 524 to 776 of the family's 1533-position model. The record is from RNAcentral.
UACGAAGGGGGCUAGCGUUGUUCGGAUUUACUGGGCGUAAAGCGCACGUAGGCGGAUCGUUAAGUCGGGGGUGAAAUCCUGGAGCUCAACUCCAGAACUGCCUUCGACACUGGCGAUCUUGAGUCCGGAAGAGGUGAGUGGAACUCCUAGUGUAGAGGUGGAAUUCGUAGAUAUUAGGAAGAACACCAGUGGCGAAGGCGGCUCACUGGUCCGGUACUGACGCUGAGGUGCGAAAGCGUGGGGAGCAAACAGG